This 494-nucleotide ribosomal RNA is filed under the name uncultured bacterium. Its description in RNAcentral is "partial 16S ribosomal RNA". It matches the Rfam family "Bacterial small subunit ribosomal RNA", at positions 28 to 506 of the family's 1533-position model. The record is from RNAcentral.
GACGAACGCUGGCGGCGUGCCUAAUACAUGCAAGUAGAACGCUGAAGGAGGAGCUUGCUUCUCUGGAUGAGUUGCGAACGGGUGAGUAACGCGUAGGUAACCUGCCUCGUAGCGGGGGAUAACUAUUGGAAACGAUAGCUAAUACCGCAUAACAGUAGAUAUCGCAUGAUAUCUACUUGAAAGGUGCAAUUGCAUCACUACCAGAUGGACCUGCGUUGUAUUAGCUAGUUGGUGAGGUAACGGCUCACCAAGGCGACGAUACAUAGCCGACCUGAGAGGGUGAUCGGCCACACUGGGACUGAGACACGGCCCAGACUCCUACGGGAGGCAGCAGUAGGGAAUCUUCGGCAAUGGACGGAAGUCUGACCGAGCAACGCCGCGUGAGUGAAGAAGGUUUUCGGAUCGUAAAGCUCUGUUGUAAGAGAAGAACGAGUGUGAGAGUGGAAAGUUCACACUGUGACGGUAUCUUACCAGAAAGGGACGGCUAACUACGU